RNAcentral lists this non-coding RNA (21 nucleotides) under Arabidopsis thaliana (thale cress). Lineage: Eukaryota; Viridiplantae; Streptophyta; Magnoliopsida; Brassicales; Brassicaceae. The record is from RNAcentral.
GGGUCGAUGCCCGAGCGGUUA